This 497-nucleotide ribosomal RNA is filed under the name uncultured bacterium. RNAcentral describes it as "partial 16S ribosomal RNA". It matches the Rfam family "Bacterial small subunit ribosomal RNA", at positions 28 to 507 of the family's 1533-position model. The record is from RNAcentral.
GAUGAACGCUGGCGGCGUGCCUAAUACAUGCAAGUCGAGCGAACGGACGAGAAGCUUGCUUCUCUGAUGUUAGCGGCGGACGGGUGAGUAACACGUGGAUAACCUACCUAUAAGACUGGGAUAACUUCGGGAAACCGGAGCUAAUACCGGAUGAUAUUUUGAACCGCAUGGUUCAAAAGUGAAAGACGGUCUUGCUGUCACUUAUAGAUGGAUCCGCGCUGCAUUAGCUAGUUGGUAAGGUAACGGCUUACCAAGGCAACGAUGCAUAGCCGACCUGAGAGGGUGAUCGGCCACACUGGAACUGAGACACGGUCCAGACUCCUACGGGAGGCAGCAGUACGGAAUCUUCCGCAAUGGGCGAAAGCCUGACGGAGCAACGCCGCGUGAGUGAUGAAGGUCUUCGGAUCGUAAAACUCUGUUAUUAGGGAAGAACAUAUGUGUAAGUAACUGUGCACAUCUUGACGGUACCUAAUCAGAAAGCCACGGCUAACUACGUG